Molecule: long non-coding RNA, 452 nt
Organism: Castor canadensis (American beaver)
Lineage: Eukaryota; Metazoa; Chordata; Mammalia; Rodentia; Castoridae
Source: Ensembl
CGUCCCCAGGUCCUUCUCCAGAGGCUCCAUCUGGGGCGUGGCCUUUGGCCUUCCUGAAGCUCCGGGAGAACCAUGCUGUCAGCAGCCUCUGCACACGAGGCACAGGGAGUUAGGAUGGAUCACACCGCUCCCCAUCGGGCCGAAUGUGUAUUUCAAUUUUCCUCCUCCUAGGUGAAGGCAGUCCACGAGCCACUCCAAUGAUCCACGUGGACGUGCCCGAUGCACGGGACUCACCAGGGUCCGCAUCCACACUCAACUUCUGCGAUCCUGUCCGGGAACAAGAGGUGUCCCUUGAUGAGCUGGACCAGCCAGUCGCUCUGCCAGGACCCUCACCCAAAGGUGAAGAGAGUGCGCGUGUCAACGAGAUGACCCACGUGAUCGUGACCGAUUCAAGGGACGCGGUGGAGACCGUAUGCGCCCCCAGUCUCCUCGAUUGCAGCCAGGAUCCGAAG